RNAcentral lists this transfer RNA (90 nucleotides) under Fidelibacterota bacterium. RNAcentral's name for it is "tRNA-Ser". It matches the Rfam family "tRNA". Rfam says of the family: Transfer RNA (tRNA) molecules are approximately 80 nucleotides in length. Their secondary structure includes four short double-helical elements and three loops (D, anti-codon, and T loops). Further hydrogen bonds mediate the characteristic L-shaped molecular structure. tRNAs have two regions of fundamental functional importance: the anti-codon, which is responsible for specific mRNA codon recognition, and the 3' end, to which the tRNAs corresponding amino acid is attached (by aminoacyl-tRNA synthetases). tRNAs cope with the degeneracy of the genetic code in two manners: having more than one tRNA (with a specific anti-codon) for a particular amino acid; and 'wobble' base-pairing, i.e. permitting non-standard base-pairing at the 3rd anti-codon position. Lineage: Bacteria; Pseudomonadati; Fidelibacterota. The record is from RNAcentral.
GGAGAGGUGUCCGAGUGGCUGAAGGAGCACGCUUGGAAAGCGUGUGUAUCUUAACCGGUACCCAGGGUUCGAAUCCCUGUCUCUCCGCUA